GGGGACUUAGCUCAGUGGUAGAGCACUUGCCUAGCAAGCACAAGGCUCCGGGUUCAGUCCUCA
Molecule: transfer RNA, 63 nt
Filed under: Rattus norvegicus (Norway rat)
Lineage: Eukaryota; Metazoa; Chordata; Mammalia; Rodentia; Muridae
Rfam family: tRNA
About the family: Transfer RNA (tRNA) molecules are approximately 80 nucleotides in length. Their secondary structure includes four short double-helical elements and three loops (D, anti-codon, and T loops).
Source: Rfam by way of RNAcentral